RNAcentral lists this ribosomal RNA (1557 nucleotides) under Salinivibrio kushneri. Its description in RNAcentral is "16S ribosomal RNA". It matches the Rfam family "Bacterial small subunit ribosomal RNA". The record is from RNAcentral. Lineage: Bacteria; Pseudomonadati; Pseudomonadota; Gammaproteobacteria; Vibrionales; Vibrionaceae.
AGAGUUUGAUCAUGGCUCAGAUUGAACGCUGGCGGCAGGCCUAACACAUGCAAGUCGAGCGGAAACGGCAGCAUUGAAGCUUCGGUGGAUUUGCUGGACGUCGAGCGGCGGACGGGUGAGUAACGGCUGGGAACCUGCCCUGACGCGGGGGAUAACCGUUGGAAACGACGGCUAAUACCGCAUAAUGUCUUAGUUCAUUACGAGCUGGGACCAAAGGUGGCCUCUACAUGUAAGCUAUCGCGUUGGGAUGGGCCCAGUUAGGAUUAGCUAGUUGGUAAGGUAAUGGCUUACCAAGGCAACGAUCCUUAGCUGGUUUGAGAGGAUGAUCAGCCACACUGGGACUGAGACACGGCCCAGACUCCUACGGGAGGCAGCAGUGGGGAAUAUUGCACAAUGGGGGAGACCCUGAUGCAGCCAUGCCGCGUGUGUGAAGAAGGCCUUCGGGUUGUAAAGCACUUUCAGCAGUGAGGAAGGUGGUGUACUUAAUAAGUGCAUGGCUUGACGUUAGCUGCAGAAGAAGCACCGGCUAACUCCGUGCCAGCAGCCGCGGUAAUACGGAGGGUGCGAGCGUUAAUCGGAAUUACUGGGCGUAAAGCGCAUGCAGGCGGUUUGUUAAGUCAGAUGUGAAAGCCCGGGGCUCAACCUCGGAACCGCAUUUGAAACUGGCAGGCUAGAGUCUUGUAGAGGGGGGUAGAAUUUCAGGUGUAGCGGUGAAAUGCGUAGAGAUCUGAAGGAAUACCAGUGGCGAAGGCGGCCCCCUGGACAAAGACUGACGCUCAGAUGCGAAAGCGUGGGUAGCAAACAGGAUUAGAUACCCUGGUAGUCCACGCCGUAAACGCUGUCUACUUGGAGGUUGAGGUUUAGACUUUGGCUUUCGGCGCUAACGCAUUAAGUAGACCGCCUGGGGAGUACGGCCGCAAGGUUAAAACUCAAAUGAAUUGACGGGGGCCCGCACAAGCGGUGGAGCAUGUGGUUUAAUUCGAUGCAACGCGAAGAACCUUACCUACUCUUGACAUCCAGCGAAUCCUUUAGAGAUAGAGGCGUGCCUUCGGGAGCGCUGAGACAGGUGCUGCAUGGCUGUCGUCAGCUCGUGUUGUGAAAUGUUGGGUUAAGUCCCGCAACGAGCGCAACCCUUAUCCUUGUUUGCCAGCACAUAAUGGUGGGAACUCCAGGGAGACUGCCGGUGAUAAACCGGAGGAAGGUGGGGACGACGUCAAGUCAUCAUGGCCCUUACGAGUAGGGCUACACACGUGCUACAAUGGCAGAUACAGAGGGCAGCGAAGCUGCGAAGUGGAGCGAAUCCCUUAAAGUCUGUCGUAGUCCGGAUUGGAGUCUGCAACUCGACUCCAUGAAGUCGGAAUCGCUAGUAAUCGUGGAUCAGAAUGCCACGGUGAAUACGUUCCCGGGCCUUGUACACACCGCCCGUCACACCAUGGGAGUGGGCUGCACCAGAAGUAGAUAGCUUAACCUUCGGGAGGGCGUUUACCACGGUGUGGUUCAUGACUGGGGUGAAGUCGUAACAAGGUAGCCCUAGGGGAACCUGGGGCUGGAUCACCU